AUCAGCUAUCUCCUGAAUCACUGCCCAGUUGCCAGCUGCAAGUUUUAGCUCCAAAAAGCAGCAUCCACAGCACAAAGCCAGAAAAAUCUCUGAAGGGGCGGUGCUGUCAGAGAAUAGCAGAAGGAGUUGGUAUUAUCAAAUCAGGCACAGUUUAUAUCAGCUUCAAGAUUUCAUUGGCACAGAGAAUGAGGACUGCUCACUGACUGCAACAUCAGAAAACAUCAAUAUUCAAAUAUUAGCAUAUUGCUCAGAAGACGUGGAGGAUGGGCAGAGCACUAAUGGCCAAGGUGAAUUGCCUGAGAUGUUGACUUUGGCUUCCCAGGAGCCAUUUAUGCUUACUUUCUGGUUUGUAUUGUGAG
Molecule: long non-coding RNA, 359 nt
Organism: Manis javanica (Malayan pangolin)
Lineage: Eukaryota; Metazoa; Chordata; Mammalia; Pholidota; Manidae
Source: RefSeq, a predicted model, not a curated record